UACGUAGGGUGCGAGCGUUGUCCGGAAUUAUUGGGCGUAAAGAGCUCGUAGGCGGUCUGUCGCGUCGGUCGUGAAAACCUGCAGCUUAACUGUGGGCGUGCGGUCGAUACGGGCAUGACUGGAGUUCGGCAGGGGAGACUGGAAUUCCCGGUGUAGAGGUGAAAUUCGUAGAUAUCGGGAGGAACACCGGUGGCGAAGGCGGCGACCUGGGUAGAUACUGACGCUGAGGUGCGAAAGCGUGGGGAGCAAACAGG
This 254-nucleotide ribosomal RNA is filed under the name uncultured bacterium. Its description in RNAcentral is "partial 16S ribosomal RNA". It matches the Rfam family "Bacterial small subunit ribosomal RNA", at positions 524 to 776 of the family's 1533-position model. The record is from RNAcentral.